Molecule: ribosomal RNA, 429 nt
Filed under: Pseudomonadota bacterium
Lineage: Bacteria; Pseudomonadati; Pseudomonadota
Description: Proteobacteria bacterium partial 16S ribosomal RNA
Rfam family: Bacterial small subunit ribosomal RNA
Source: RNAcentral
UGGGGAAUAUUGGACAAUGGGCGAAAGCCUGAUCCAGCCAUGCCGCGUGUGUGAAGAAGGUCUUCGGAUUGUAAAGCACUUUAAGUUGGGAGGAAGGGCAGUAAGCGAAUACCUUGCUGUUUUGACGUUACCGACAGAAUAAGCACCGGCUAACUCUGUGCCAGCAGCCGCGGUAAUACAGAGGGUGCAAGCGUUAAUCGGAAUUACUGGGCGUAAAGCGCGCGUAGGUGGUUCAUUAAGUUGAAUGUGAAAGCCCCGGGCUCAACCUGGGAACUGCAUCCAAAACUGGCGAGCUAGAGUAGGGCAGAGGGUGGUGGAAUUUCCUGUGUAGCGGUGAAAUGCGUAGAUAUAGGAAGGAACACCAGUGGCGAAGGCGACCACCUGGGCUCAUACUGACACUGAGGUGCGAAAGCGUGGGGGGCAAACAGG